CCUACGGGAGGCAGCAGUGAGGAAUAUUGGUCAAUGGACGCAAGUCUGAACCAGCCAUGCCGCGUGCAGGAAGACGGCUCUAUGAGUUGUAAACUGCUUUUGUACGAGGGCAAACGCAGAGACGCGUAUCUGGCUGAAAGUAUCGUACGAAUAAGGAUCGGCUAACUCCGUGCCAGCAGCCGCGGUAAUACGGAGGAUUCAAGCGUUAUCCGGAUUUAUUGGGGUUAAAGGGUGCGUAGGUGGUCGGUUAAGUUAGAGGUGAAAGCCCGGGGCUCAACUUCGGAAUUGCCUCUGAUACUGUUAGGCUAGAGAUUAGUUGCGGUAGGCGGAAUGUAUGGUGUAGCGGUGAAAUGCUUAGAGA
This 361-nucleotide ribosomal RNA is filed under the name uncultured bacterium. RNAcentral's name for it is "partial 16S ribosomal RNA". It matches the Rfam family "Bacterial small subunit ribosomal RNA", at positions 338 to 696 of the family's 1533-position model. The record is from RNAcentral.